GGAGGGGUAGCAAAGCCUGGUCAAAUGCGCAGGACUCAGAAUCCUGUCACUUAGGUGUUCGUGGGUUCAAAUCCCUCCCCUUCCA
RNAcentral lists this transfer RNA (85 nucleotides) under Candidatus Micrarchaeota archaeon CG10_big_fil_rev_8_21_14_0_10_45_29. RNAcentral describes it as "tRNA-Leu". It matches the Rfam family "tRNA". Rfam says of the family: Transfer RNA (tRNA) molecules are approximately 80 nucleotides in length. Their secondary structure includes four short double-helical elements and three loops (D, anti-codon, and T loops). Further hydrogen bonds mediate the characteristic L-shaped molecular structure. tRNAs have two regions of fundamental functional importance: the anti-codon, which is responsible for specific mRNA codon recognition, and the 3' end, to which the tRNAs corresponding amino acid is attached (by aminoacyl-tRNA synthetases). tRNAs cope with the degeneracy of the genetic code in two manners: having more than one tRNA (with a specific anti-codon) for a particular amino acid; and 'wobble' base-pairing, i.e. permitting non-standard base-pairing at the 3rd anti-codon position. Lineage: Archaea; Nanobdellati; Microcaldota. The record is from RNAcentral.